Molecule: transfer RNA, 72 nt
Filed under: Cavia porcellus (domestic guinea pig)
Lineage: Eukaryota; Metazoa; Chordata; Mammalia; Rodentia; Caviidae
Rfam family: tRNA
About the family: Transfer RNA (tRNA) molecules are approximately 80 nucleotides in length.
Source: Rfam by way of RNAcentral
UGGGGUGUAGCUCAUUGGUAGAGCACUUGUCUAGCAUGCAUAAGGUGCUGGGUAUAAUCUCCAGCACUGCAA